This 253-nucleotide ribosomal RNA is filed under the name uncultured bacterium. RNAcentral describes it as "partial 16S ribosomal RNA". It matches the Rfam family "Bacterial small subunit ribosomal RNA", at positions 524 to 776 of the family's 1533-position model. The record is from RNAcentral.
UACAGGGGGGGCAAGCGUUGUUCGGAAUUACUAGGCGUAAAGGGCUCGUAGGUGGCCAACUAAGUCAGACGUGAAAUCCCUCGGCUUAACCGGGGAACUGCGUCUGAUACUGGAUGGCUUGAGUUUGGGAGAGGGACGCGGAAUUCCAGGUGUAGCGGUGAAAUGCGUAGAUAUCUGGAGGAACACCGGUGGCGAAGGCGGCGUCCUGGACCAACACUGACACUGAGGAGCGAAAGCCAGGGGAGCAAACGGG